ACUCAUUCUUUGCUCUCCUGCUACCACGUGAAGAAGGAUGUAUUUGCUUCCCCUUCUGCCAUGUUUGUAAGUUUCCUGAGGCCUCCCCAGCCCUUCAGAACUGUGAGUCAAUUAAACCUCUUUCCUAUAUAAAUUACCCAGUCUCCGGUAUGUCUUUAUUAGCAGCACGAGAAUGAACUAAUACACUUCCCCACCACAAUAGUAGAAAGGGCUUAUGUCUACAGACAAGCUUAUUCUCUUUAUUUGUUGGAAACAUGACAAGUUCUGGCUUCUAUGACUCUUUUUCUAUAUACAUAUUUUUCAUAGAAAAUCAAAAUGAAAAGUAUUUUCAGAUUAGCAAAAAUAAUUUUUAAAGUUAGAAAUGUGAUUUCAAAACAAGAAAGUUGGUACACCCCACAGAGGCUGCUUAACUCAUGGAAGAUUAAGCAAAUCAUAUUCUGUGGGGGGAAAAAAACGAAAAAAAAAAAAAAGCCAACCUGACAAUUCCAAGGCAGUUCACCAGCAUUAUUUCAAAGGAAAAGCAAAGUUAAAAAAAUAAAGUAAAAUCAAGAUAAAGGGAGGAGAGAGGGAAAAUAUUGAAUCAUUCUUGUUUCCCUGUAAAUAGUUUAUCACUCUAUUUAUAAACAGACACAGAGAGCUUUUAGUGGAAUUGCCAGAUAUUAAUUUUUUCAAGAGAUUUAAUAUUAUUCUGGGAGGGAGUUAUAUCCAGUUGUAUGGUUCUAUUUUUUAUUUGCCCCUACUCCUAGAGCAUAGCCCCUUCAGGUUCUCAACAGGAAGCAUGGGACAUUCUUCUUUGGUUGGCCAUGAACUUAAAAUUCUGUUUUCCUGGUAACAUCUAAUUACAGUGUUCUCUGCUUAAAGGGUCAACCUUUUAGAAGCUGCUUUCUGCUUGCUUUGUCAGACUUUCUUACCACACUUAAACUAGCUAGGAGUUAACAAAUAUAUUGAGGGCAGAUUACAAACAGAAAAUCAGGCUCACUUCUCUGCAGUCCUCUUUUUUUCUGGGAUCUUGGUCCUUCAAGUCCUGAAUGGUUGUUUUGGGAACUCUGAACUCCAAUUUCUGUCUCCCCAGUCCAAAGAGAAAAGUGCUGCAAGUUCUAGGCUGCUGCUUCAUGCCCCCAUUCAGUGAAUCAGGAAAUAUUUUGAGAGGAGAAAUAAUGAUUGAUUUAACUUCAUAAAGCGUAAUAGCGUAUGCUUGCCAAAAACAUCAGAAACAAGUUAUGUCAGAAAUAGUGUCUCUACCUUAAAUUUUGUUCAUCCUUUCUAUAGUAUACAGUUGUAGAUGGAAGUAACAGCUCAGCUGAGGACUAAAUUUCCUUAUCCCAUUUGCCAUGAGAUGUGGCCAUAUGACUUGUUUUUGCCAAUGAAAUAUGAAUGAAAGUAAUUCAUGCCACCUUCUAGGUCAUGGCUUAUAAAAGGCUAGUAUGUCUCUUCCAUACUCCCUUCCUGCCCCUACCUGGGUGUGGACAAUGAUAAGGCCUGAGGGGAGAGUGAAGCCACAAGAUCAAAGGCAUCUGGGCCCUAAAACCUCUUCAUCAAAUCACGCUAUUAUAAAUGUCGUGCUCUUGUUGUUAUAAUAAUGUAC
RNAcentral lists this long non-coding RNA (1585 nucleotides) under Homo sapiens (human). Its description in RNAcentral is "non-protein coding lnc-GNG11-3:4". The record is from RNAcentral. Lineage: Eukaryota; Metazoa; Chordata; Mammalia; Primates; Hominidae.